Molecule: ribosomal RNA, 492 nt
Filed under: uncultured bacterium
Lineage: Bacteria
Description: partial 16S ribosomal RNA
Rfam family: Bacterial small subunit ribosomal RNA
Source: RNAcentral
AGUGAACGCUGGCGGUAGGCCUAACACAUGCAAGUCGAACGGCAGCACAGUAAGAGCUUGCUCUUACGGGUGGCGAGUGGCGGACGGGUGAGGAAUAUAUCGGAAUCUACUUUUUCGUGGGGGCUAACGCAGGGAAACUUACGCUAAUACCGCAUACGACCUACGGGUGAAAGCAGCGGAUCUUCGGACCUUGCGUGAUUGAAUGAGCCGAUGUCGGAUUAGCUAGUUGGCGGGGUAAAGGCCCACCAAGGCGACGAUCCGUAGCUGGUCUGAGAGGAUGAUCAGCCACACUGGAACUGAGACACGGUCCAGACUCCUACGGGAGGCAGCAGUGGGGAAUAUUGGACACUGGGCGCAAGCCUGAUCCAGCCAUACCGCGUGGGUGAAGAAGGCCUUCGGGUUGUAAAGCCCUUUUGUUGGGAAAGAAAAGCAGCAGGUUAAUACCCCGCUGUUCUGACGGUACCCAAAGAAUAAGCACCGGCUAACUUCGUG